GGAUCACAUGAUAGAACGACGCUGGCUAGCGAGCUAACAUGUUAGCGUAUGUUGUUAAAGCCCUUGCCAGGAAUCGCACACGGACGCAGUAGCCCAACUAACAAGCAGCCCCAAAGUCCUUAAGUCCUCGUUCGGUGACCUGACUUAAUUCCCAACACGGCUCCACCAAAGAUUACUCAGAAGAGAAGUAUGGAGGCUAAAGAAGUGAAAACAUCUGGGUGGAUCUGCAAGUGAAUACACUUCUUCUAUUCUCCUUCCACCACAUUGUGUGCGUGUGUUUGUCUGGGAACAUUGAUUGGUUGUGGAAUCUGUGAUCCCUGAAAGCACUGACUCUUUCCUUUCACACCAAGAUGUUGCUGAGUGCAGUAAUCCAUUUCUGCUUCACCGUAGAGAGUUGCAUCCGUUGUUACUCUGAGAAAGCGAUGUUUCCCAGUUGUAGUCAUGCUGUCUUCGGACACUGGAUUCGCACCUUCUCACGCCGUGUUUUCUCACAUUCAGUCUUCCCCGCCACUCUGGCUGCUGACACGCGCAGUAAUUUGAAUCUUUCUCAGCAGCUUUGUUUGCAUAUUACUUACCAGUUCACAAUCACUGAAGACUCAGAAAGCCCAUAAUGAACACGGACAUUUUUAUUAGGGGUUUUAAACUUAAAUAUGACCAAAUGAACAAUUUAUUUUCUAAAUUUCUACUAUUUAGUUAUCUGACUGGCACAUGCAAAAAUACUAGUUGCUAAAUAAUCUCACAAGUUUUUUAUAAAAGCCUAAUUUUGACGCCCAUCGAUUUUAUUUGGCCUCAAAUUGUUUAUUAAAGAGCAGACUGAUGUUUGACUUGCUGGAGUGUAAAUGUAGAACAGGUCCUUUCUCUUUUUUUUUCUCUGUAUUUUAUAAUACUGACUCUAGAUUGAUCAUCAACUAUAAAAGAUUAUGAUGACCAAACCAGGUACAAAUCAUUAUAAGAACUGCAUUUAAGUUAUUAUUGAUGGGCGAUUUUAGAUUUGCAUCAAUUCUUUCUUUCUUUUGUGUUUGUUUGUUGGUGCUCUCAUUUAAUUUCCAACAGUCUGUGAAAACAUGGUCAAAGGUGACUGACUGAUAAGUUGCAGGGGACAUUGGACUUUAUCUGCGAGACGAGAGCAGGGAUGACUUAAGGUCACAUGCAGAUAGGAAUUGUUACAGCAAAAGACUGUUAAUUCAUGCAGGAGACCACGAUGCCCUCGAUCAUCGUACAUUUUAACUAGUAAAUCAACUAAGCUUAGACUUGUAUGACCAGAAUAACACAUCAUAAUCAACAUAUUCUGAAUAUCAUUCGUUUCAAACCUCAAACCCCCAGGUUAGGCUUUUUUGUCCUUAAUGAAAUGAUCCUGAAU
Astatotilapia calliptera (eastern happy) is the source of this 1360-nucleotide long non-coding RNA. NCBI's taxonomy places the organism in Eukaryota, Metazoa, Chordata, Actinopteri, Cichliformes, Cichlidae. The record is from Ensembl.